GGCUCAAUGUCUAGUGGAAUGAUUCCUGUUUUGGGUUUGACUCAUAUGCAGGAGGUCCCGGGUUCAAAUCCCGGUUGAGCCC
This 82-nucleotide transfer RNA is filed under the name Fusarium pseudograminearum. RNAcentral describes it as "tRNA-Pro". It matches the Rfam family "tRNA". Rfam says of the family: Transfer RNA (tRNA) molecules are approximately 80 nucleotides in length. Their secondary structure includes four short double-helical elements and three loops (D, anti-codon, and T loops). The record is from RNAcentral. Lineage: Eukaryota; Fungi; Ascomycota; Sordariomycetes; Hypocreales; Nectriaceae.